UUUCCGUAGGUGAACCUGCGGAAGGAUCACUAGUGAAUUGAAUAUGUUAGCGGACCUCUUCGGAGUCCCUAGCAUCAAAUCAUAUCCAUAACACCUGUGAACUGUAAGGCUGUCUUGAAAACGAAAGUGAUUAGAGCGCCUGCCCAUCUUAUACAAACAUUAAAGUAACAAACGUAGUCUUAUUAUAAUCUAAUAAAACUUUCAACAACGGAUCUCUUGGCUCU
RNAcentral lists this unclassified non-coding RNA (224 nucleotides) under plant metagenome. RNAcentral describes it as "partial contains small subunit ribosomal RNA, internal transcribed spacer 1, and 5.8S ribosomal RNA". The record is from RNAcentral.